UUGGGGUCAGGUCUCUCUGAGCCCUCCAGUGUGAUAAAGCUCAAUUCUCUUCACUUCUCCAAGUGCCACUCUGUUUCUUCCUGAAGCAUUAAGGUCCCAGGAUCCUCCAUUUCUUACAGAGGACAUGAAUGUGUCCUUCUCAGCUGAGCUCUGUACCCUUCUGGAUGCACACCACACCACCUCCCCUGCAUCCGCACCUCUGUGGAUGGACUUGCACACUGCUGCCAAAUGCCACAACUGAGAACCGUGCUGCUCUACACAAUCUGCUCAUGUCCCUGUAAUACGGUGACUUCAGCUGCUUCACGAAGAUGUUUAGAAGAAGGGCAGCUGGAUCCAACAGCAUUUCUAUUUUUGCUUUUUGAGGAUGCUCCAUACUGACUUCCAUCGUGGUUGUACCAGUUAAUAUUCCCACAGCAAUGCUACCGGUUCCUUUUCCCCCUACAACUUUGCCAAUUUGUUGUUUUUUCUAUUUUUUGUUGUCUUCAACAGUAGCCUUUUUUACUGAUUUAAAGAACAAAAUAAGAAACAAGGAGAUAGUCUUUGUGGGGAUGGGAAUUGAUUUGGGAAAAGGGGGAGAAGCAUGCAGGGGCAGAAAGGGGAAAUUAAAAAAAAAAGAUACACCAUCUACCCGUGUCAAUUCCUCAAGAUCAACAAUGAUUAUGUAUUACAAGCAUUUAUGGACUUGAAAAGUCCCCUGUUAACUAUUACCUCAACAAUCUCCUGGACGUGUACUAAGUGACACGUUCCAACUCCACAUUCAUUUAAUCGUCCCUGAAUGUCUAGUGUACACUAGGCAUUGUUCUGGAACUGAAACAACACUGGCUAAAAAUGUCUAAAAGCAUUAUCCUCAUGGUGUUUGUAUUCAAAAACAGAAAAGGUGGAUUAAGAUAAUCCAUUUUCUUCACAGGAACCGGCUGGGUGCAGGAUAAUGUUUUACAUAGUACACAAUAACUUAUAGAGCCUGGGAAAUACUGAGGAAGCACCACUGACUUCGUUGAGUGUUUAAAAAUCUUUCUGGUUGCAUUUAAGUGAGAUUUUUCAACCUUCGAAAUUGUGUUAUCUUCGGAACCUGAUAAACCAUAAAACCAUGUCGAAGUCACCAGUUAAAUGGCUCAGUGUGCUCAAUGAACAGAAGAGAUGCAUUUCAGUUGUGCCCAACCCAAUUAAAUGUCACCCAAGCAAAUGAAAUGUCACUCCCAACAGAAACUUUCUUUGCUGCAAGCCUCUGAGUACCUGACAGCCCCUUUUGUUGGACAGUAUUGACUUUGAUAAUAUUAACUGGCUGCAGCUAUGGGGAGGUGAAUACAAGUUAAGAGUCUCUAUGUUUCAUUGGUAGAUUUCUCAAACAAGAAAUUAAGAUUAGUUGCACAUUUAGCUAUGCGAUUUUUCUACAAGAAACCAUUCUGAAAACUCACUUGUUGUGAAUCUUUUCUUUUAAAGGUGUUUUUGUUUAGAGUCUAAUCUGAUCAAUCUCAAUAAAGAGUUUGCAGUUUUCCAAAUUACUUAAUCUCUCUCCAAACCACUCAAGUUCGUGACAGAAUCUUGGAAGUGGGGAGACUCAGCCGAUCCUUAAUCAUUCAGCUACCAGUGACCUGCAGGGUAUGAACAGCGAUGAUACUCUCAGGCCAAGUUCAAUACCCCCAGGCCGAGCAUAGAGAGCUGGUGUCAGGGCUAAGCGCUCCUUGAGGACAAGGCAAUGGCUGAGGUGCCACCAACCAUCACGCGUGAACCAAUUUCUCAUUCCCUAGGCAUCCACUGAUUAUCGAUGUGCUAGCUUAAAAAAAA
Octodon degus (degu) is the source of this 1785-nucleotide long non-coding RNA. RefSeq lists it as uncharacterized. The transcript is spliced from 2 exons. The record is from RefSeq and is a predicted model, not a curated record. NCBI's taxonomy places the organism in Eukaryota, Metazoa, Chordata, Mammalia, Rodentia, Octodontidae.